GGGUUGUGAGGUUAAGCGACUAAGCGUACACGGUGGAUGCCCUGGCAGUCAGAGGCGAUGAAGGACGUGCUAAUCUGCGAUAAGCGUCGGUGAGGUGAUAUGAACCGUUAUAACCGGCGAUUUCCGAAUGGGGAAACCCAGUGUGUUUCGACACACUAUCAUUAACUGAAUCCAUAGGUUAAUGAGGCGAACCGGGGGAACUGAAACAUCUAAGUACCCCGAGGAAAAGAAAUCAACCGAGAUUCCCCCAGUAGCGGCGAGCGAACGGGGAGGAGCCCAGAGCCUGAAUCAGUGUGUGUGUUAGUGGAAGCGUCUGGAAAGGCGCGCGAUACAGGGUGACAGCCCCGUACACAAAAAUGCACAUAUUGUGAGCUCGAUGAGUAGGGCGGGACACGUGGUAUCCUGUCUGAAUAUGGGGGACCAUCCUCCAAGGCUAAAUACUCCUGACUGACCGAUAGUGAACCAGUACCGUGAGGGAAAGGCGAAAAGAACCCCGGCGAGGGGAGUGAAAAAGAACCUGAAACCGUGUACGUACAAGCAGUGGGAGCCUCUUAAUGGGGUGACUGCGUACCUUUUGUAUAAUGGGUCAGCGACUUAUAUUCUGUAGCAAGGUUAACCGAAUAGGGAGCCGAAGGGAAACCGAGUCUUAACUGGGCGUUAAGUUGCAGGGUAUAGACCCGAAACCCGGUGAUCUAGCCAUGGGCAGGUUGAAGGUUGGGUAACACUAACUGGAGGACCGAACCGACUAAUGUUGAAAAAUUAGCGGAUGACUUGUGGCUGGGGGUGAAAGGCCAAUCAAACCGGGAGAUAGCUGGUUCUCCCCGAAAGCUAUUUAGGUAGCGCCUCGUGAAUUCAUCUCCGGGGUAGAGCACUGUUUCGGCAAGGGGGUCAUCCCGACUUACCAACCCGAUGCAAACUGCGAAUACCGGAGAAUGUUAUCACGGGAGACACACGGCGGGUGCUAACGUCCGUCGUGAAGAGGGAAACAACCCAGACCGCCAGCUAAGGUCCCAAAGUCAUGGUUAAGUGGGAAACGAUGUGGGAAGGCCCAGACAGCCAGGAUGUUGGCUUAGAAGCAGCCAUCAUUUAAAGAAAGCGUAAUAGCUCACUGGUCGAGUCGGCCUGCGCGGAAGAUGUAACGGGGCUAAACCAUGCACCGAAGCUGCGGCAGCGACACUAUGUGUUGUUGGGUAGGGGAGCGUUCUGUAAGCCUGUGAAGGUGUACUGUGAGGUAUGCUGGAGGUAUCAGAAGUGCGAAUGCUGACAUAAGUAACGAUAAAGCGGGUGAAAAGCCCGCUCGCCGGAAGACCAAGGGUUCCUGUCCAACGUUAAUCGGGCAGGGUGAGUCGACCCCUAAGGCGAGGCCGAAAGGCGUAGUCGAUGGGAAACAGGUUAAUAUUCCUGUACUUGGUGUUACUGCGAAGGGGGACGGAGAAGGCUAUGUUGGCCGGGCGACGGUUGUCCCGGUUUAAGCGUGUAGGCUGGUUUUCCAGGCAAAUCCGGAAAAUCAAGGCUGAGGCGUGAUGACGAGGCACUACGGUGCUGAAGCGACAAAUGCCCUGCUUCCAGGAAAAGCCUCUAAGCAUCAGGUAACAUCAAAUCGUACCCCAAACCGACACAGGUGGUCAGGUAGAGAAUACCAAGGCGCUUGAGAGAACUCGGGUGAAGGAACUAGGCAAAAUGGUGCCGUAACUUCGGGAGAAGGCACGCUGAUAUGUAGGUGAAGCGACUUGCUCGUGGAGCUGAAAUCAGUCGAAGAUACCAGCUGGCUGCAACUGUUUAUUAAAAACACAGCACUGUGCAAACACGAAAGUGGACGUAUACGGUGUGACGCCUGCCCGGUGCCGGAAGGUUAAUUGAUGGGGUUAGCGGUAACGCGAAGCUCUUGAUCGAAGCCCCGGUAAACGGCGGCCGUAACUAUAACGGUCCUAAGGUAGCGAAAUUCCUUGUCGGGUAAGUUCCGACCUGCACGAAUGGCGUAAUGAUGGCCAGGCUGUCUCCACCCGAGACUCAGUGAAAUUGAACUCGCUGUGAAGAUGCAGUGUACCCGCGGCAAGACGGAAAGACCCCGUGAACCUUUACUAUAGCUUGACACUGAACAUUGAGCCUUGAUGUGUAGGAUAGGUGGGAGGCUUUGAAGUGUGGACGCCAGUCUGCAUGGAGCCGACCUUGAAAUACCACCCUUUAAUGUUUGAUGUUCUAACGUGGGCCCCUUACCGGGGUUGCGGACAGUGUCUGGUGGGUAGUUUGACUGGGGCGGUCUCCUCCUAAAGAGUAACGGAGGAGCACGAAGGUUGGCUAAUCCUGGUCGGACAUCAGGAGGUUAGUGCAAUGGCAUAAGCCAGCUUGACUGCGAGCGUGACGGCGCGAGCAGGUGCGAAAGCAGGUCAUAGUGAUCCGGUGGUUCUGAAUGGAAGGGCCAUCGCUCAACGGAUAAAAGGUACUCCGGGGAUAACAGGCUGAUACCGCCCAAGAGUUCAUAUCGACGGCGGUGUUUGGCACCUCGAUGUCGGCUCAUCACAUCCUGGGGCUGAAGUAGGUCCCAAGGGUAUGGCUGUUCGCCAUUUAAAGUGGUACGCGAGCUGGGUUUAGAACGUCGUGAGACAGUUCGGUCCCUAUCUGCCGUGGGCGCUGGAGAACUGAGGGGGGCUGCUCCUAGUACGAGAGGACCGGAGUGGACGCAUCACUGGUGUUCGGGUUGUCAUGCCAAUGGCACUGCCCGGUAGCUAAAUGCGGAAGAGAUAAGUGCUGAAAGCAUCUAAGCACGAAACUUGCCCGAGAUGAGUUCUCCCUGACUCCUUGAGAGUCCUGAAGGAACGUUGAAGACGACGACGUUGAUAGGCCGGGUGUGUAAGCGCAGCGAUGCGUUGAGCUAACCGGUACUAAUGAACCGUGAGGCUUAACCUUACAACGCCGAAG
Molecule: ribosomal RNA, 2919 nt
Filed under: Escherichia coli
Lineage: Bacteria; Pseudomonadati; Pseudomonadota; Gammaproteobacteria; Enterobacterales; Enterobacteriaceae
Description: bacterial LSU rRNA
Rfam family: Bacterial large subunit ribosomal RNA
Source: RNAcentral